Molecule: ribosomal RNA, 305 nt
Filed under: uncultured bacterium
Lineage: Bacteria
Description: bacterial SSU rRNA
Rfam family: Bacterial small subunit ribosomal RNA
Source: RNAcentral
GGCCUACGGGGGGCAGCAGUAGGGAAUCCUCCACAAUGGGCGAAAGCCUGAUGGAGCAACGCCGCGUGGGUGAAGAAGGUCUUCGGAUCGUAAAACCCUGUUGUUAGAGAGGAAAGUGCGUGAGAGUAACUGUUCACGUUUCGACGGUAUCUAACCAGAAAGCCACGGCUAACUACGUGCCAGCAGCUGCGGUAAUACGUAGGUGGCAAGCGUUAUCUGGAUUUAUUGGGCGUAAAGGGAACGCAGGCGGUCUUUUAAGUCUGAUGUGAAAGCCUUCGGCUUAACCGGAGUAGUGCAUUGGAAAC